UUGGCGACCGGCGCACGGGUGAGUAACGCGUAUCCAACCUGCCCUUUACUAUGGGACAGCCCGUCGAAAGGCGGAUUAAUACCGUAUGUUGUCAUGUUGAUGCAUAUUUUCAUGACCAAAGGCUUCGGCCGGUAAAGGAUGGGGAUGCGUCUGAUUAGCUUGCCGGCGGGGUAACGGCCCACCGGGGCGGCGAUCAGUAGGGGUUCUGAGAGGAAGGUCCCCCACAUUGGAACUGAGACACGGUCCAAACUCCUACGGGAGGCAGCAG
This 268-nucleotide ribosomal RNA is filed under the name uncultured bacterium. RNAcentral describes it as "partial 16S ribosomal RNA". It matches the Rfam family "Bacterial small subunit ribosomal RNA", at positions 88 to 354 of the family's 1533-position model. The record is from RNAcentral.